UUUUUUUUUUUUUUUUUUUUUUUGUGCUUCUAACAUUCAAGAAUUCAGUCUUCUCCCUUGAAUACAGCAGAAAAAAGGGCAACUGUAUCUUUCUGGGAAUCAUAUAUUUUGUCUCUUACCUCUAAUGUCCCCACUUAUGUAGUAUUUACAUCCUCCUGGGCAGAAAAUUCAUAGUGAAUUCCUACCCAAUAGUAUCACCUUAACCUUACACAAGCACAAAUCCUCAGUUUGGUGGGCACAGAACAAAGCCACUGGUGUAGAAAUUAUAUAAAAGGGCAUGCAUAUAACUGUGGAAACACAUAUGGAGAUCCAGAUUAACAAAACUCCUUAGGCUACUACCAUGACUGGAGUUCCUAUGAGAAAAGGCAGCCCUAUCUAUCUAUCUAUCUAUCUAUCUAUCUAUCUAUCUAUCUAUCUAUCUAUCUAUCUAUCUAUUUCUAUGCUGCCAGGGGCUAUAUGAGGUCACAGCAGUCAUAGCUUGCCUAUGACAAAGAUGACAUCAUUUCUAUAUAUUAAGCUGCAUAUGUAUUAUAGGGGGCAGGGAACAGAAGAAAGCAAGUUUCUCCAGACUUCUGAGUCACAGCACUACUUACCAUUGGGGUUGCAACCGAAGGUCAGGUCUACUAGUGAACCGAGAGUAACCCCACAACUCUAAGACCAUUUCUCUGAAUUGACAGAAACACCACUGAUACUAGAGAAAGGGGAAGAUACUGUUUUGUUUUGUUUUUUUUCCACAUAGGAAGCUAUUAAAAUCAAGAUGGCUUGGUGACCGGUGACCAUUAGCUGGCAGCCAAGGUACCUCCCACAGGGAUGGGACUACAAGGAAGCUCCCUUUGGCUCUUCUGUCACCAUGUGGCCUUCCGUCUGCUGGCUGCUGUGCUUAGGCUUGCCCACCAGCUGUUGCCCUCCACACCCUCCUGCCACACUCUGGGUCUUAUCUGUCUAGUCCCAGAUGGGUGUGUGAGGUAGCAUGAACCUGAAUUUGUAUAAGUCCCAGAUGGUCAAUGGGUUACCGAUGUCCUAUGACUUGCUGGGGAUUACAUGCCUAUGAAAGAGCAGAGCUGGCACUCAGACCAGGAUCUUCUGUCCCCACACCCUGUCUUUGGGGAUAGCAGAAAAGCACAACUGUCCUCGAUGGAGAGGAAGAACCUUGUUACCUUGACUGUGGGCCAUUUCUUGACUGAACUAGGGAAGGUGAUACGGCUAACCUAUUGAGCCUGUCCUCAAACUCCUGCAAUCUUGUCUCCACAUCCUGAGGGCUUGCAUUACAGAAGUCUGCUCCCAUCUGACCAGGUCUCACCAGCACCCUGCCAACCGUCUCCCAUAAAAGUGCUACAGAAACGGAUUCUGAAACCCUGCCUAAAACCUAAAGCUAAGUGUGGGCAGGCACCGACCCCAGCGUUGCUUUCAUCUGCAUCUAUCCCUGUCAUAAUAUUCCUGAAGUAUCACCCAAAGGCUUCCGAGGUAAAGGCUUGGCCUUCAACUGCAAUAUCAUAUCAUUGAGAGGUGGCUGUACAAUGAGUGUUGCCUUAAUCAAUGAAUUAAUCCAAAGAUCAGUUAAUAACUUUGAUGGCGUUAUUUGAAGGUUAUAGAAACUUCCAGAAGAAGGGCCUACUUGGAGGAAGUAGAUCAUUGGGAAUUUCACUGUAUGUUUUGGUUUGUCUGUUUUUCUUCUCCCUCUCCCCACCACCCUUCUUUCUCUGUGUUGCCCCAAUAUGUGUCCUCCUAUUCGUGGGCAUGUACACAUGGAGGCUGAAGUUGUCAGAGCUUUGUCAACUUUGGCACAGCCUAGAGUCACCUGAGAAGGAAGUCUCAAUUGAGGAACUGCUCAGGUCCAGUUUGCCUAUGGGCAUGUCUAUGAGGCAUUUCUUUUUAUUACUAAUUUAUGUAGGAGGUCCCAGCCCACUGUGGGCAGCACCAUCCUCUGGGCUGGUAGUCCUGGGCUGUAAGAGAGCCAGUUAAGUAUGAGCCUGUGAGGAAUACAGCAAGCAGCAUUCCUCCAUGGUUUCUCUUUCAAGUUCCUGCCCUUAAUUCCCCAAUGACGGGCGGUGAUCUGAAAGCAUGAACCAAAUGGUCCUUUUCUCUUGGUCAGUGUUUUAUCACAAAAGCAGAAAGGAAAUGAAAACAGGUCUUCCCCUCCAUUGCUUUCCACAUCGUUUUCUGAGCCAGGGUCUCUCACUGCUCAUCACUUGUUUAGUCCACCAAGCUAGCAAGCUCCAGGAUAUGCCUGUCUCUGUGCUCCCUCCCAUCAGUGUGUGUGUGUGUGUGGGGGGGGGGGGUCACAGGCAAGUGCCACCAAGCCUGGCUUUUGAUGUGGGUGCUGGGAUCUGAACUUAACAUUCUCAUGGUUGCACAGUAAGCACCCCACUCACUGAGCCACCUUCCUGGCCCAGAAUCUGCCUUUAAAGGAUGAUAUCUCUUUCUGGCCUCUGCCUCCAAGAAGUGAGUGACGGUUCUCCACACCCUUCUCCCAUAGUGCUCUGCUUCACCACAACUCAGACACAAGACAACCGCUAACCAGGGACCAAAGUGUCUAAAAUUGAGCCCAAAUAGCCCUUUCCUUCUUUGGUUGUUUGUGUUGGGCAUUUGUUACAGUGACUAAAGGAAGAACUGCACAACCCUUGCUCUUGAUGGCGUGUUCUUUGCUUGCUGUUCCCCCCCACAGGCUCCUCUCCCCUUCCCUUCCCUCUCAUGACAGGACACUUGCUCUUGAUGGCAUCUUUUGCUCGCUGCUCCUCUCUGGUUCCUCUCCCCUUACGUUCCCUCCCUCCAGAUCCUUUCCAGAAGCAUGCUCUGCUAAUCUCUUCCCUUACCCCAGACCAUUCCUGUUGCAAGCAAGUAGUUAUAGUGACCAAACAGAAUGCCAGAUAUGGAAGAGCUUUAUACGUGGUGAGAGCUAUGUACAGUGAGGGUCGGUAGUAUUUUUCCUCAGCAGUCACAUAACCAGCCUCGUUGCUGUGUGUGCAUGCGUGUGUGGGUGACUCACCCCUGUGUGCACGUACAGACCAGAGGCUGACAUCAAGCACCUUCUAUUGCUUUCUGCCCUCUAAAAAAAGUUUUCUUUUUCUUCCUUUCUAUGUGUAUGAAUGUUUUGCCUGCAUGUCUGUAUGAGCACCCAACUGGUGCCCGUGGAGGCCAGAAGUGGACAUUAAAUCCCCUGGUACUGGAGUUACAGGUAAGGGUAGCAAGUGUUCUUCUUAACCUCAUAUCCUACUUUAAAAAAUUCAUUUAUUUAUCAUCUUUAUUGAUUUUAAUUGUUAUGUUUAUAUUGUAAAUGUAAGUAAUAAGUAUUAUAUGUAAAUAAGUUAUUUACCUAUUACAUUGACUUUAUUACUUUAUAUAUAUUUGUUAUAUUUAAUUAGUUAUCUUGUGUAUGCACAUGGCAUAUGAAUCAGUUUUCUUUCCAUCAUGUUGGUCUGAGGAAUUAAACUCACGUCAUCAUGCUUGGCAGCAUGUGCCUUUCUUCACUGAACCAUCUUGCCAGCAUUCUACACUCCCAAUGACCUACUUCCUCCAACUAGGCCCUACUUCUGGAAGCCUCGCUGGUUACCUAGACUGGCUGGCUAGUGAGCUUCAGGGAUCUGUCUGUCUGGAUUUAUAGACUUGUGACACCAGGUUUGGCUUUUCCAUAGUCACCAGGGAUCUCAACCUGGACUCAGAAACUCAGCCCAGCGAGCAUUUUGCCCACUGAGCCUUGUCUCCCAGCCCUUGGAUGGUAACUGAUUAAGUCAGAGUGUUUUGCCUUUUCUGUUAGAUUCUUACUACUCAAAGGGUGAUUCGCAGACUUGUAUCGUUGGCACCCCAGGGAAUCCUUGAAGUGAGUGCUGAGUCAGGAUAAUACUAAGAAGAGUUCUAAGUGCAUUCAAAUUUGGGAAACGUGUAACUUGCGGUGGUUAAUACAAACGGCCGUUCGCCUUGAGAGGAUCUAAGGUCACUUAGGAGACAUGCCACUGGGAGGGAGGGCCUAGACUUGGUUAGCUGAGGUGGGAACACCCAUCCGAAAUGUGGGUGGCACUGUUCCAUGGGCUGGGGUCCCAGGCUGAAGACAAAUGAGAGAGCAGCCGAGAAGCAGCACUCAACACUGUGGGCGGUGUGAGCAGAUGCCUCUCACUCCUGCCUUCACGCCUCCCUGAAGCCGCUUCUCAUCUGGUAUCUGGUCACAGCCAUGAACCGAGCAACUGAUACAAACCCUAAGGAUGUCAAGACACAUAUGGUAGUUCCCCCUCCAGGAAGCCUUCUAGCUGGUAGGACUGGGGGGUGCAGGAAGUAGUACCACACGACUGUGGCACUGCACGCAGUACAGUUCACUACCCCUUGCUAGCGUGGGUGCUGCUGCUUACUGGGACAGACGUGACACGAACAUGUUUCUAGGCCUGAAAGUCUUACACACAGAAACCACAGCAGAGCUUGGUUAGGGAAACUCAUGGUCAGAUGGAGCGCAUGCGUUCCUGGCCACUGGCAGGAGGGCAACAGUCGUGGAGCCUUUCCAAGAACCAAUGGCCCGCUGCUGAGUGAGCCCAGGUUCAUCACCCUGCUUUGACAGUCCAUGCUUCUUUGCUUUUCCACACCUCCCUGCCCCUGCACAUUCUAAGAGAUUUGGAAAGCACGUGUUAUAAAGGGCAGCUGGCCGGGAACUCUCAUAGCACACGUCUUGUGAUUCCUCAAAGCCCUGUGAGAGAAGAGUUAUCUAGAAAACCUACAGCAGCUAACUCUCUGCCUUGCUGGGACACAGAAAUAUACACUUCCCAUCAGCAGGAAGGUUACCCUGGAGCUUAGACUCCCUCAUGUGAUCCCUUCCAUAUAGGCAGCAGAGCUCCCAGAAGGCUGAGCCCAGAGAAACACGUCGUGCUGAAAACUAUACGUAUUAAUCAUCGGGUAUGUGAAGGACCAAUCUUAGUGAGACUGGAGAUGUUAAAACAAACAAAAACAAUGUGGAAUACCAAGGAGAGGUAGACUGAGACAGACACUAAGCUGGGAGGUGGAGUUUGAGAUGAGAUAAGGCAGUUGUUAGACAGCCCUGAGUCCAUUUUCCCCAAGUCUCAGCCUCCCCUCCUUGAGAGCAGGCGGGCAGAGUUGGUGCCAGCUGAACCUCAGGGAACAGAGGUGCACAGAGUACUGAGGUCUCAGUCCAUAGGUUUUUGGUAUGUGGCUCCUCUACAGGUGCCAGAAACAUUGAACCAGGAAGGCAGAGCCGAGGCUGCCGGGGCUGCCUUGCUUUGGGGCCCCUUCUUACCCUGAUCAUCUCUGCCACGUAACUCUCAGGCCCGGUGUACUCUGUGGAGUCCUUCACUUUCACCAGCACGAUGAAGCACAGAUAGUGCCACAUGUUGUGCUCUUCCUUGAUGUGCUCUUCAAAGGUGACAGUCUUAUUGUCAAACUUGUCCCUUUCCAAGCCUAAAUGAGAGACAGAACACCCCAGAUUCCCCAUGAGCCACCACGGUACAGCAAAGUCAGCAUAGCUUGUUGUCUUGAUUAAUCUGCAGGCAGAGUUGGAGUCUUUUGGCCUUCAAACCCACUUUCAUCAUGGUAGGAGGGCACAGGCAGGGAGUCUGACUUACCAGGGUUUAUUUGAUGUUUAUGUUUUGUUUUAAAACAGGGUCUCAUGUAGCCCAGGCUGGCCUUAAACUCACUAUGUAGCCAGGGGCUAACUUUGAACUCCUGGUACUUCUGCUUCAAACUCCCAAGUGCUGGAUUUACAGAUAGGCAAUACCGUGUGCAGAUCCUAGGGUCUGAAAACCCUGCAGCUUCCUAAUGAAGGCCAGGUGCCUUGGCUGCCUCACGGGUGCACGGGAAACCUGCCUUCCAGCUUCUAGGGGAGGAAGCAUGAGGAUAGGCUCAGGCCCCGGAGGACAUCAGUGAUUCUAAGCUCCCUUGUCCCAGGUAAAUGCCAAAGUGUGGACAUGACAAAAAGAACUUUAAACCAAUUUCAGAUGCUGGUUGAUAACUGUAUUUUGUGAAGGCCUGGGCUAGCCAUUAUGAAAUUAGAAUUGAAAAAGGAAAUAUAUUUCAGGCCAUUAGUAGGGUUUGGAUUCCUCACAUUAAAAGAAGGGAGCACAAAUAUACAGAGUAAGGAAGAUGAUAUAGACACUGUAAUGCUGAGGUAGGAUUAGAGGUAGCCAUCUUUUUGUUAUCUAUAUGAAACUAGAGGAACAGAUGUAGGUGGAUCCGUCUCCAUGUCUUUCUAUGCACACACAAAGGCAUACAUACACACCAGCCCAUAGAUCUACAGCCUAAACCUGGAACAGUGGUCAUCAAAAGGGAUGAACACUUAGAUGUUGGCUACUAAAUGCCUAUUUCACUAUGAACAACUGAAGAAAUGGCUGAUUGUAUGGCUGGAUCAGAGAAGGCAAAGGUUUGAGACUGGAAAUUCUUAAGUUGCCAGAAAAAUAUACAGUACAAAAAAAAUUAUGACACGACAAAACACAAAAGGCAGCCUGAAGGGUUCUCACUGGCCAAACCCAAGGGGAAAUGAGCAUCAAGGCAGAACCUGAUACAAUGGCACAUCACCAUAGUUGGGAGGCUGAGGCAGGAGGAGCACAAGUUCAAGGCCAGCCUACACUAACUCAAAAUUAAGGUAAGAUGUUAUGCCAAACUUAAUGACCUGAAUAAAUAAAUAUGGGAAAUAAUUUCCAAGGCAGAAUCACUAGGGGAUACUAUGUCUGGGGCUGAAUGGGCAAAGUGAGGAAUACCAAGGUUACUUACAAGGUUUCCAAGUGUCCUGCCAUACAGUGACUUUAUUGUGAGAAACAUACCAAAUAUGUCCUUAUCCAAGAGAACAAAGUGAGUAUCGGCAGCUGUAUACUUUAAGCUAUGACUUAAUGUUUCCCUGGUGUGGCAGACUGAGAAGGUGAGAAAAUGUGUCUUCAAUAUUCGUAUACAAAUGCAUAAGCUUAGCUCUACUAUAAGGGACCUUCAGAGAAACUCAAAUCAAAGGAUUUCCUACAAAACAAGUGCCUUAUGUUCUUCACAAAUGUCUGUGGAGGGGCUGAAGAGAUGGCUCAGUGGUGAAGAACACUGGCUGUUUCUCCAGAGGUCAUGAGUUGAAUUCUCAGCAACCAUGUGGUAGCUCACAACCAUCUGUAAUAGAAUCUGAUGCCCUUUCUGGUGUACAGACAAACAUGUGGAUCAAGCACUCCUAUACACAAAUAAACAAAUCUUUAAAUUUAAAAAAAAAAAAAAAAAGCCCAUGGAGUUAAGAGCCCAAAUGUAGGAUGUCACAUGGCUUGGGACUGUCUAAAGGCACUAGUAGAAUGAAGGGUGAGUUUUUUAAAUUAGAUAGACAGAUAGUUUUGUCUUAAAUUUCCCAGUAACUAUACUGCAAUCAUGUAAGACAAUGUUCUUGCCAGCAGCAAAUACAUACUGAAAUGCUAAAGAUCAAAAGGGCAUCAUGUCAGCCACUGACACUGAAUCAGUUCAGAAAAAGUGAGUGGGUGUGCAUGUGUGUGUGUACAGAAAGUAAAGGAAAGGGAAGCCAGUAUUAAAAUUAAAAUUAGGGGAAUCUUAGGAGCUGGGAGAAACUCUUUGUACUAGUUCUAUGACUUUUCUGUCACUAAAAUUACAGCAAAAUAAAAAGCUUAAAAACUAGGUCUUAAAGAGGCUAAAAAUUAAAGAAUUUAGAUGUUUAAAAGAAAGUUUCCAUUUUUUAGUAUCCAUAUUGGGAAGGAAUUCAUAAAUUUAGUAACCAUAUUCUGAAUAAUCCUGAUAUGAUUACUCAGCUUCCAGAUUCCAACAUGAUUAGUCUGCAUUUACAUAUAUUUUCCAAUAGUAAUACUUUUAGAGACUUUUUUGGUACCUCAUGAAACUAUUUUUAUUUUGGUUUUUGAGACAGGGUGUCAUGUAGCAAAGGCUGGCCUCAAACCCAUAGUCCUCCUGGCCCAGCCGCCUCCUGAGUGCUGAAAUUGCAUGUGUGAGCACUUGUUUCCUGCAGCAGUUCCUACUUAGCCUGCAGCAUGAAGGGGUUGGGGGUGGGAGGGCUAUGUCAGGAGCUUAUCCAAGUCCCCACUCCUAAUUCUCACAGGGAUGCAGAGAAGUGCACGGGGACACCACCCACGUUACAGGUGGAGAAGAUGGCUCAGUGAAUAUAAAUGACUGAGCGCAGGUGCAUGGCCAGUCAGCAGCUGAGGCUGGUCCAGAAGCAGGGGCUGAUGUACCGAGUCCAAGCCUUUAACUUUCACCUGACUGUAAGAGACUUCUAUCUUUUAAAAAAUAAAACAAAAAAUUUAUCUAUUUGUCUGUCUGUCUGUCUGUCUGUCUGUCUGUCUAUCUAUCUAUCUAUCUAUCUAUCUAUCUAUCUAUCUACCUAUUUCUUGAGAUAGGGUCUCACCAUGUACCCUUGGCUGUCCUGGAACUAGCUAUGUAGACCAAGUUGGCCUCAAAGUCAGAGAUCUAUCUGCCUCUGCUUCCUGAGUGCUUGGAUUAAAAUACAAUUAUACUAUCCGUGUGCCCCCUCAAACUCAUGGUGAGUAUAUGCAUAUGUAUAUAAAUACAAUCUACCGAGUCCAUUAGUGUUGCCUGCAUAUAUGUGUAUAUGAGUUCAGGUGCCUAUGGAGACUUGAGUUCCAGGGUGAUGUGAGCUAUUGCCUGACAUGGGCACUGGGAGUUGAAUCUGGGUUAUGUGCAGGAGCAGAGCAUGCACUUAGCCUCCGUGCUAUCUCUCCAGCCCUCCUCUUUCUCUUGUCUUUGAGAAAGGUUUUUACUAGGUAGCUCAGGUCCAAGUUGGCAUUGAUCUCACAGCAAUCGUCCUGCCUCAGCUUCCCAAGUGUUCUGAUUACAGAUGGGUGCUGCUGUGUCCAGCUCUAAUGGAAUUUUUCCAUUGCAGCCUGGUCCUGCCAGUGGAGAAGACAUUCUCAGGCUGUUGCUGGAUAACAGCUUUCCUUCCUAGUUUACUUAGGACUGGACCAGGGGACUUUCAGGAUGACCAGACCAGGAAGACGCGAGAUACAUUUUUUUUCUUACACGUGUGGUGACAUUUCUACUCUUCAGAACUUAAUUCCGAAAGGCAAACCAGUAACUACUGCACAGAGUUUAUUGGCUUUCGAGAUACUUCCCAGGGGAGGAAAAAAAAAAAGGCCACAUAGAAGCCUGUUGUUUGCCAAGAGAGGGCAGGGAUGGGACUGCACAAUGUGACUGCCUCAGUCCAGUGUCUGUUAUGUACCCACUCCAUUGCCACGUGGCCAUGUGCUCAGCCAUGCUGGCCAGUGGCCUGCCUGCCCGAGUGGGACAGACACUCACCGCAGAUGAAGCACGUGGUUUUUAAGAUCUCCUCCUUCUUUUGCUUCUCACUCCUCAGGUCAGCAAAGGUGUCAAUGAUGACCCCGAAAAUCAGGUUCAGGACGAUGAUGAUGACCAUGAAGAAGAAGAGGAGGUCGUAGAUCACCCUUGCAGCAAACAGAGGCUCCUGGAGAUGAGAGAUGGUGCUCUCAGGCGGGGCCCACACUGCCCUUUACUCUUCAGAGGUCAGAGUCCAGCUCCAGCUGGACAGAUGUCCACUUUGACGGGACUUACACUGAGCAUCAAACUUUAAAACUCCCAACCAAGUCUCCUUUUAAUCCCUGACUCUAUACUGGGAGUGCUUCAACAGCUGUGGGGAACACAACUAGGAAGAUUCUGUCAGUAUGUUGGCCAGACCUAAUAUUAAACAAACCUCUGUCUAA
This is a long non-coding RNA of Mus musculus (house mouse), 9653 nucleotides long. RefSeq annotates it as predicted gene, 44040. NCBI's taxonomy places the organism in Eukaryota, Metazoa, Chordata, Mammalia, Rodentia, Muridae. The transcript is spliced from 3 exons. The record is from RefSeq and is a predicted model, not a curated record.